GAACGCACCUUGCGCCCUUUGGCUAUUCCGAAGGGCAUGCCUGUUUGAGUAUCAUGAACACCUCAACUCUCAUGGCCCUGCCAUGAUGAGCUUGGACUUUGGGGGGUCUUGCUGGCCUAUGGGUCAGCUCCUUUCAAAUGAUUCAGCUUGCCAGUGUUUGGUGGCGUCACAGGUGUGAUAACUAUCUACGCUUGUGGUUUUCCACCAGGUAACCUUCAGUGAUGGAGGUUCGCUGGGGCUCAUAAAUGUGUCUCUCCUCACCGAGGACAGCUCUCUAGACGUUUGAUCUCAAAUCAGGUAGGACUACCCGCUGAACUUAAG
Molecule: unclassified non-coding RNA, 321 nt
Filed under: uncultured Thelephoraceae
Lineage: Eukaryota; Fungi; Basidiomycota; Agaricomycetes; Thelephorales; Thelephoraceae
Description: sequence contains 5.8S rRNA gene
Source: RNAcentral